GGGUGCUUUUGGCUAUCAACCGAAAGCAUAACGCAAGUUUUGUAGACGGUAGAUAAACAAAAACCCCGAAAGUUUAAUUUUCAUUAACUAACGAGGUUUAAGUGAUGUACCUAGACAAUACGGAUCUUAGCCUCUAUUUUGAUAAGGGGCAAGUAAAAUGCUAAAA
This 166-nucleotide antisense RNA is filed under the name uncultured Aliivibrio sp. RNAcentral's name for it is "sok antitoxin (CssrC)". It matches the Rfam family "sok antitoxin (CssrC)". Rfam says of the family: Also identified in Shigella as CssrC. Lineage: Bacteria; Pseudomonadati; Pseudomonadota; Gammaproteobacteria; Vibrionales; Vibrionaceae. The record is from RNAcentral.